This 253-nucleotide ribosomal RNA is filed under the name uncultured bacterium. RNAcentral describes it as "partial 16S ribosomal RNA". It matches the Rfam family "Bacterial small subunit ribosomal RNA", at positions 524 to 776 of the family's 1533-position model. The record is from RNAcentral.
CACGUAGGGGGCAAGCGUUGUCCGGAUUUAUUGGGCGUAAAGAGCGUGUAGGCGGCCCGGUAAGUCCGCUGUGAAAGUCGGGGGCUCAACCCUCGGAUGCCGAUCGAUACUGUCGGGCUAGAGUCCGGAAGAGGCGAGUGGAAUUCCUGGUGUAGCGGUGAAAUGCGCAGAUAUCAGGAGGAACACCAAUGGCGAAGGCAGCUCGCUGGGACGGUACUGACGCUGAGGCGCGAAAGCGUGGGGAGCAAACAGG